RNAcentral lists this ribosomal RNA (949 nucleotides) under Croceibacter sp. COL-60A. RNAcentral's name for it is "bacterial SSU rRNA". It matches the Rfam family "Bacterial small subunit ribosomal RNA", at positions 60 to 1003 of the family's 1533-position model. Lineage: Bacteria; Pseudomonadati; Bacteroidota; Flavobacteriia; Flavobacteriales; Flavobacteriaceae. The record is from RNAcentral.
AGUCGAACGGUAACAGGGAGGAGCUUGCUCCUCUGCUGACGAGUGGCGCACGGGUGCGUAACGCGUAUACAACCUACCUUGUACUGGGGUAUAGCCCAGGGAAACUUGGAUUAACACCCCAUAGUAACAUAUUUUGGCAUCCUUAUAUGUUUAAAACUACGGUGGUACAAGAUGGGUAUGCGUCCCAUUAGCUUGUUGGUGUGGUAACGGCACACCAAGGCUACGAUGGGUAGGGGCCCUGAGAGGGGGAUCCCCCACACUGGUACUGAGACACGGACCAGACUCCUACGGGAGGCAGCAGUGAGGAAUAUUGGACAAUGGGCGAGAGCCUGAUCCAGCCAUGCCGCGUGCAGGAAGACUGCCCUAUGGGUUGUAAACUGCUUUUAUACGGGAAGAAACCCACCUACGUGUAGGUGGCUGACGGUACCGUAAGAAUAAGGACCGGCUAACUCCGUGCCAGCAGCCGCGGUAAUACGGAGGGUCCGAGCGUUAUCCGGAAUCAUUGGGUUUAAAGGGUCCGCAGGCGGCCAAAUCAGUCAGUGGUGAAAUUUUCUGGCUCAACCAGGAAACUGCCAUUGAUACUGUUUGGCUUGAAUCAGUUCGAGGAUGCUGGAAUGUGUGGUGUAGCGGUGAAAUGCAUAGAUAUCACACAGAACACCAAUUGCGAAGGCAGGUGUCCAGGACUGUAUUGACGCUGAUGGACGAAAGCGUGGGUAGCGAACAGGAUUAGAUACCCUGGUAGUCCACGCCGUAAACGAUGGUUACUAGCUGUCCGGACUUCGGUCUGGGUGGCCAAGCGAAAGUGAUAAGUAACCCACCUGGGGAGUACGUUCGCAAGAAUGAAACUCAAAGGAAUUGACGGGGGCCCGCACAAGCGGUGGAGCAUGUGGUUUAAUUCGAUGAUACGCGAGGAACCUUACCAGGGCUUAAAUGCAUUAUGACAGGGGUG